This 376-nucleotide long non-coding RNA is filed under the name Nannospalax galili (Upper Galilee mountains blind mole rat). RNAcentral's name for it is "lncRNA (ENSNGAG00000024494.1)". The record is from RNAcentral. Lineage: Eukaryota; Metazoa; Chordata; Mammalia; Rodentia; Spalacidae.
AGCUCAUAUUGGGAUUGCUAUGCCUAAAUUUAUUGAGAGUUGUGUGGUUGGGGUAAAUGUAUGGGGAAGUAGUCCUAGAAGGUUUGUAGAUCCAAUAAAAAUGAUAAGUGAGGCUAGUAUUAGGGAUCAUGUGUGACCUUUUGGUGAGUGUGUAAGGAUUACAGCUCCAGCUCAUAUUGGGAUUGCUAUGCCUAAAUUUAUUGAGAGUUGUCUGGUUGGGGUAAAUGUAUGGGGAAGUAGUCCUAGAAGGUUUGAAGAUCCAAUAAAAAUGAUAAGUGAGGCUAGUAUUAGGGAUCAUGUGCGACCUUUUGGUGAAUGUGUAAAUAUUAUUUGUUUGGUAAUAAGUUUAAUUAAUCAUUGUUGUUUUAAAAAAUAG